ACGCUGGCGGCAGGCUUAACACAUGCAAGUCGAACGGUAGCAGGAGAAAGCUUGCUUUCUUGCUGACGAGUGGCGGACGGGUGAGUAAUGCUUGGGAAUCUGGCUUAUGGAGGGGGAUAACUACGGGAAACUGUAGCUAAUACCGCGUAGAAUCGGAAGAUGAAAGUGCGGGACCGUAAGGCCGCAUGCCAUGAGAUGAGCCCAAGUGGGAUUAGGUAGUUGGUGGGGUAAAGGCCUACCAAGCCUGCGAUCUCUAGCUGGUCUGAGAGGAUGGCCAGCCACACUGGAACUGAGACACGGUCCAGACUCCUACGGGAGGCAGCAGUGGGGAAUUUUGCGCAAUGGGGGGAACCCUGACGCAGCCAUGCCGCGUGAAUGAAGAAGGCCUUCGGGUUGUAAAGUUCUUUCGGUAUUGAGGAAGGUUGAUGUGUUAAUAGUACAUCAAAUUGACGUUAAAUACAGAAGAAGCACCGGCUAACUCCGUGCCAGCAGCCGCGGUAAUACGGAGGGUGCGAGCGUUAAUCGGAAUAACUGGGCGUAAAGGGCACGCAGGCGGUUAUUUAAGUGAGGUGUGAAAGCCCCGGGCUUAACCUGGGAAUUGCAUUUCAGACUGGGUAACUAGAGUACUUUAGGGAGGGGUAGAAUUCCACGUGUAGCGGUGAAAUGCGUAGAGAUGUGGAGGAAUACCGAAGGCGAAGGCAGCCCCUUGGGAAUGUACUGACGCUCAUGUGCGAAAGCGUGGGGAGCAAACAGGAUUAGAUACCCUGGUAGUCCACGCUGUAAACGCUGUCGAUUUGGGGAUUGGGCUUAAAGCUUGGUGCCCGUAGCUAACGUGAUAAAUCGACCGCCUGGGGAGUACGGCCGCAAGGUUAAAACUCAAAUGAAUUGACGGGGGCCCGCACAAGCGGUGGAGCAUGUG
RNAcentral lists this ribosomal RNA (919 nucleotides) under uncultured bacterium. RNAcentral's name for it is "bacterial SSU rRNA". It matches the Rfam family "Bacterial small subunit ribosomal RNA", at positions 33 to 943 of the family's 1533-position model. The record is from RNAcentral.